GACGAACGCUGGCGGCGUGCUUAACACAUGCAAGUCGAACGGAAAGGCCCUGCUUUUGUGGGGUGCUCGAGUGGCGAACGGGUGAGUAACACGUGAGUAACCUGCCCUUGACUUUGUGAUAACUUCAGGAAACUGGGGCUAAUACCGGAUAGGAGCUCCUGCUGCAUGGUGGGGGUUGGAAAGUUUCGGCGGUGGGGGAUGGACUCGCGGCUUAUCAGCUUGUUGGUGGGGUAGUGGCUUACCAAGGCUUUGACGGGUAGCCGGCCUGAGAGGGUGACCGGCCACAUUGGGACUGAGAUACGGCCCAGACUCCUACGGGAGGCAGCAGUGGGGAAUAUUGCACAAUGGGCGGAAGCCUGAUGCAGCAACGCCGCGUGCGGGAUGACGGCCUUCGGGUUGUAAACCGCUGUCGACUGUGACGAAGAGUGAGUGACGGUAAUGGGUAAAGAAGCACCGGCUAACUACGUG
RNAcentral lists this ribosomal RNA (468 nucleotides) under uncultured bacterium. RNAcentral's name for it is "partial 16S ribosomal RNA". It matches the Rfam family "Bacterial small subunit ribosomal RNA", at positions 28 to 507 of the family's 1533-position model. The record is from RNAcentral.